Oryza barthii is the source of this 177-nucleotide non-coding RNA. NCBI's taxonomy places the organism in Eukaryota, Viridiplantae, Streptophyta, Magnoliopsida, Poales, Poaceae. The record is from Rfam.
UUUAAGUGCAGUUGUGGAUUUGUGUGUCCGUCUUAUUUGAAUUUUUUUAUGAGUAGUGUUUUUAUUAUUAUUAGAUGACAAAACAUGAAUAGUACUUUAUGAGUGAAUUAUUUUUAAAUUUUUCAAAUAAGACAGAUGGUCAAACAUUGUACACGGAAAUCCACAACUGCACUUAAA